AACGCUAGCUACAGGCUUAACACAUGCAAGUCGAGGGGCAGCAUUUUAGUUUGCUUGCAAACUGAAGAUGGCGACCGGCGCACGGGUGAGUAACACGUAUCCAACCUGCCGAUAACUCCGGAAUAGCCUUUCGAAAGAAAGAUUAAUACCGGAUAGUAUACGAAUAUCGCAUGAUAUUUUUAUUAAAGAAUUUCGGUUAUCGAUGGGGAUGCGUUCCAUUAGUUUGUUGGCGGGGUAACGGCCCACCAAGACUACGAUGGAUAGGGGUUCUGAGAGGAAGGUCCCCCACAUUGGAACUGAGACACGGUCCAAACUCCUACGGGAGGCAGCAGUGAGGAAUAUUGGUCAAUGGGCGAGAGCCUGAACCAGCCAAGUAGCGUGAAGGAUGAAGGCUCUAUGGGUCGUAAACUUCUUUUAUAUGGGAAUAAAGUUUUCCACGUGUGGAAUUUUGUAUGUACCAUAUGAAUAAGGAUCGGCUAACUCCGUGCCAGCAGCCGCGGUAAUACGGAGGAUCCGAGCGUUAUCCGGAUUUAUUGGGUUUAAAGGGAGCGUAGGUGGAUUGUUAAGUCAGUUGUGAAAGUUUGCGGCUCAACCGUAAAAUUGCAGUUGAAACUGGCAGUCUUGAGUACAGUAGAGGUGGGCGGAAUUCGUGGUGUAGCGGUGAAAUGCUUAGAUAUCACGAAGAACUCCGAUUG
RNAcentral lists this ribosomal RNA (695 nucleotides) under uncultured bacterium. Its description in RNAcentral is "bacterial SSU rRNA". It matches the Rfam family "Bacterial small subunit ribosomal RNA", at positions 32 to 715 of the family's 1533-position model. The record is from RNAcentral.